UGAGCAAUCUGCCCUUCUCUUCGGAAUAAGCGUGGGAAACCGCGUCUAAUGCCGAAUACGACCUCCUUUCGCAUGAUCGGAGGUGGAAAGCUCCGGCGGAGAAGGAUGAGCUCGCGGCCUAUCAGCUAGUUGGUGUGGGUAAUGGCCCACCAAGGCGACGACGGGUAGCCGGCCUGAGAGGGCGACCGGCCACACUGGGACUGAGACACGGCCCAGACCUCCUACGGGAGGNAGCG
Molecule: ribosomal RNA, 236 nt
Filed under: uncultured bacterium
Lineage: Bacteria
Description: partial 16S ribosomal RNA
Rfam family: Bacterial small subunit ribosomal RNA
Source: RNAcentral